GUUCGUGAACUUCGCAUGAAUGGUGACCCUUUUCAUCCGUUUCUUAACUUCGUUAUCUGGAUGACAGCUGGCACUGCUUGAACUAACGGAAGCAGGCUCCGUGAAUGAAGUGGAACAACAAGGGUCCUUGUUUGCUGUUGCUAGAGAUAUCGGUGUGCACCCUUUUAGAUCUGGCUUGUUUACGUUUGCUCCUCCUUCUAGAAGAAGCCGUACCAUUUCUAAAUGGCCGUUCUUUACGGCAACAUGAAGAGCAGUUUGUCCUUCCUCUGCUGGAAAAGAAGAUUACCAGCUGGAAAAGGCACUCGUGGGAAACGCCGCGAAACAAAUGGACGUUUUGCACAAUCGGGUAAAAAAGAUGGCGUGAAAUGCUCGCACGGAUGGCUUUUGGCAGACAGUUUAACGUAUCUUGAUGUUUUAACCCCUGGGUUUUGUAAUCCAGACAGAUGUGUGACAAUAUUUGAUCUUUUAUCUGCGGUGGAAGCUGAUUCCGUUUCGCAAAUUCUGAAGCAGCUGCGACUUUAUCUCUCUACACCACCAAAAACAUUGUUCAGAAUCCGGAACGACAAAAAAAACAGAAAGUUGUCAACAAGAUAACUUACAAAAUCUCUGGUAUUUCCUGUCCAAUGAACGACAAGAUUUGUCAUGUUCCCGAUAAGGUACGAUGUUAAUCCCAAGUUGAAUAGCAUAUAGCCGAUAUCGAACACCAUUUCUCUUGCAUUCUCAGCGUGAAAGUCUCCGUAACCAGUAGUUGUUAGAGUCACAAUCGACCAAUACAGUGAUGUUACGUAUCUAUUCCAGAUGCUUUCGGUUUUGAAAUUUGGAUAAACCGCACCUAUCCAAGUUUUACUUGGGUCGGGAUAUCUAUCUGCUAUCAAGUAGUUAAAGCAUCCGGCACAGUGUACCGCAAACAGAGUCACCUGAAUUUACAAACCGAGAGGAGGCUGAGAGAUCUAAACGGCACAGUUGAGCUCACGUCAAAUAUAAACCAUGUUGACAGAUGGCCCAAGAGACACAAACAAUGCCUUAAAACAUAGUUUUCUUUGUGUGGUGUAAGGUGGGUUAGAUUAGACUCCAUGCACAGGGGUUGGUGCUUUAGUGGCCCUUUUGUGAUGGUGCUCAAUUACCAUA
Molecule: long non-coding RNA, 1128 nt
Organism: Helianthus annuus (common sunflower)
Lineage: Eukaryota; Viridiplantae; Streptophyta; Magnoliopsida; Asterales; Asteraceae
Exons: 5
Source: RefSeq, a predicted model, not a curated record